UGAACUGUAGCUUAGUGGUAGAGUGAUUGUUUGGCAUAUAUUAGGCCAUGGAUUCAAUUUCCCCCACUGCAA
This 72-nucleotide transfer RNA is filed under the name Cavia porcellus (domestic guinea pig). It matches the Rfam family "tRNA". Rfam says of the family: Transfer RNA (tRNA) molecules are approximately 80 nucleotides in length. The record is from Rfam by way of RNAcentral. Lineage: Eukaryota; Metazoa; Chordata; Mammalia; Rodentia; Caviidae.